UCCGGCUUAUCACCGGCAGUCCCCUUAGAGUGCCCAACUGAAUGAUGGCAACUAAGGGCGAGGGUUGCGCUCGUUGCGGGACUUAACCCAACAUCUCACGACACGAGCUGACGACAGCCAUGCAGCACCUGUCUCCGCGCCCCUUGCGGGGACCACUCAUCUCUGAGCUUAGCACGGGAUGUCAAACCCAGGUAAGGUUCUUCGCGUUGCCUCGAAUUAAACCACACGCUCCGCUGCUUGUGCGGGCCCCCGCCUAUUCCUUUGAGUUUUAACCUUGCGGCCGUAGUCCCCAGGCGGUGAACUUAAUGCGUUAGCUGCGGCACUGAUCGGGUCAAUCCGACCAACACCUAGUUCACAACGUUUAGGGCGUGGACUAC
RNAcentral lists this unclassified non-coding RNA (377 nucleotides) under uncultured bacterium. RNAcentral describes it as "contains 16S-23S intergenic spacer region". The record is from RNAcentral.